RNAcentral lists this ribosomal RNA (823 nucleotides) under uncultured Alphaproteobacteria bacterium. RNAcentral's name for it is "bacterial SSU rRNA". It matches the Rfam family "Bacterial small subunit ribosomal RNA", at positions 66 to 938 of the family's 1533-position model. Lineage: Bacteria; Pseudomonadati; Pseudomonadota; Alphaproteobacteria. The record is from RNAcentral.
ACGAAGUAGCAAUACUUAGUGGCAGACGGGUGAGUACAUGUGGGUAUCUACCCUUUGGCCUGGAAUAACACGAGGAAACUUGUGCUAAUACCGGAUAAGUCUUUACGGAGAAAGCUUUAUGCACCAUUGGAUGAGCCCGCACUUGAUUAGUUUGUUGGUAGGGUAAUGGCCUACCAAGACUAUGAUCAAUAGCUGAUUUGAGAGGAUGAUCAGCCACAUUGGGACUGAGACACGGCCCAAACUCCUACGGGAGGCAGCAGUGGGGAAUCUUGCACAAUGGAGGAAACUCUGAUGCAGCGAUGCCGCGUGAGUGAAGAAGGCCCUUGGGUUGUAAAGCUCUUUCGUCGGGGAAGAAAAUGACUGUACCCGAAUAAGAAGGUCCGGCUAACUUCGUGCCAGCAGCCGCGGUAAUACGAAGGGACCUAGCGUAGUUCGGAAUUACUGGGCUUAAAGAGUUCGUAGGUGGUUGAAAAAGUUGGUGGUGAAAUCCCAGAGCUUAACUCUGGAACUGCCAUCAAAACUUUUCAGCUAGAGUAUGAUAGAGGAAAGCAGAAUUUCUAGUGUAGAGGUGAAAUUCGUAGAUAUUAGAAAGAAUACCAAUUGCGAAGGCAGCUUUCUGGAUCAUUACUGACACUGAGGAACGAAAGCAUGGGUAGCGAAGAGGAUUAGAUACCCUCGUAGUCCAUGCCGUAAACGAUGUGUGCUAGACGUUGGAAAUUUAUUUUCAGUGUCGCAGGGAAACCGAUAAACACACCGCCUGGGGAGUACGACCGCAAGGUUAAAACUCAAAUGAAUUGACGGGGACCCGCACAAGUAGUGGAGC